GAUGAACGCUAGCGAUAGGCUUAACACAUGCAAGUCGAGGGGCAGCAUGGUCUUAGCUUGCUAAGACUGAUUGCGACCGGCGUACGGGUGCGUAACGCGUAUGCAACUUGCCUCACAGAGGGGGAUAACCCGUCGAAAGACGGACUAAUACCGCGUACCCUUGGGAUAGGGCAUCCUGACCCAAGGAAAUGAAAUUCGCUGGGAGAUAGGCAUGCGUGCCAUUAGCUAGUUGGUGAGGUAACGGCUCACCAAGGCGACGAUUGGUAGGGGAAGUGAGAGGGUGCGCCCCCAGAGUGGGACCGGCCCACGGAGCAGUCUGCUACGGGAGGCAGUAGUGAGGAAGACUGAUGAAUGGGCGAGAGCCUGAACCAGCCAAGUCGCGUGAAGGAUGACUGUCUGAUGGAUGGUAAACUUCGUUUAGACGGGAAUAACAACAGCCAAGGGUGGCUGCCUGAAUGUACCGUAUGAAGAAGCAUCGGCUAACUCCGUG
Molecule: ribosomal RNA, 490 nt
Filed under: uncultured bacterium
Lineage: Bacteria
Description: partial 16S ribosomal RNA
Rfam family: Bacterial small subunit ribosomal RNA
Source: RNAcentral